AGAGUUUGAUCCUGGCUCAGGACGAACGCUGGCGGCGUGCUUAACACAUGCAAGUCGAACGGUGAAGGAAAGCUUGCUUUCUGGAUCAGUGGCGAACGGGUGAGUAACACGUGAGCAAUCUGCCCUUGACUCUGGGAUAAGCGUUGGAAACGACGUCUAAUACCGGAUACGACCCUCGGAGGCAUCUCCUGGGGGUGGAAAGAAUUUUGGUCAAGGAUGAGCUCGCGGCCUAUCAGCUUGUUGGUGAGGUAAUGGCUCACCAAGGCGACGACGGGUAGCCGGCCUGAGAGGGUGACCGGCCACACUGGGACUGAAACACGGCCCAGACUCCUACGGGAGGCAGCAGUGGGGAAUAUUGCACAAUGGGCGCAAGCCUGAUGCAGCAACGCCGCGUGAGGGACGACGGCCUUCGGGUUGUAAACCUCUUUUAGUAGGGAAGAAGCGAAAGUGACGGUACCUGCAGAAAAAGCACCGGCUAACUACGUGCCAGCAGCCGCGGUAAUACGUAGGGUGCAAGCGUUGUCCGGAAUUAUUGGGCGUAAAGAGCUCGUAGGCGGUUUGUCGCGUCUGCUGUGAAAACCCGAGGCUCAACCUCGGGCCUGCAGUGGGUACGGGCAGACUAGAGUGCGGUAGGGGAGAUUGGAAUUCCUGGUGUAGCGGUGGAAUGCGCGAUAUCAGGAGGAACACCGAUGGCGAAGGCAGAUCUCUGGGCCGUAACUGACGCUGAGGAGCGAAAGCAUGGGGAGCGAACAGGAUUAGAUACCCUAGUAGUCC
Molecule: ribosomal RNA, 774 nt
Filed under: uncultured bacterium
Lineage: Bacteria
Description: bacterial SSU rRNA
Rfam family: Bacterial small subunit ribosomal RNA
Source: RNAcentral